CAUCUGCCCGUGAAAACGGUGGAAAACUUAUAAGUGCCGAAGAAAGCUACGCUUUAGCUGCUUAAUCAGCUAACCUCCUUUUUCCGCUCUCCCGCGGCGGGAAACAGGGGGUCAACUAAGCGGGAUACCCUCCAGGCGAGCCCGGCGCAUGGAUGGGGAAAAAAACAACGGGCUAGCCUCCUACCAGCCUGUCUGUGGGCGGGUAGCAGGCGAAAUCAAUACGCAGACUGCGCUCGGAGAAGUCCUUGUAGGUUUUCUUCCGGACGGGGGUUCGACUCCCCCCACCUCCACUA
Molecule: transfer-messenger RNA, 293 nt
Filed under: Clostridia bacterium
Lineage: Bacteria; Bacillati; Bacillota; Clostridia
Description: partial transfer-messenger RNA
Rfam family: transfer-messenger RNA
About the family: Bacterial tmRNA, also known as 10Sa RNA or SsrA, is named for its dual tRNA and mRNA-like properties. Its role is to liberate the mRNA from a stalled ribosome.
Source: RNAcentral